This is an RNA transcript of Canis lupus familiaris (dog), 968 nucleotides long. It is a transcript of the gene named kallikrein-15-like, with no coding region annotated. Lineage: Eukaryota; Metazoa; Chordata; Mammalia; Carnivora; Canidae. The transcript is spliced from 5 exons. The record is from RefSeq and is a predicted model, not a curated record.
AUGGACCCUAUUCUGCUAGCGGUCCAGGACGACACUGACAAGAUCCUGGGAGGCGAAGAGUGUGAGCCCCACUUGGCAAGUGGCCCUAUUUGAGCGUGGACGGUUCAACUGCGGUGCUUCCCUCAUCUCUGAGCACUGGGUGCUGUCUGCAGCCCACUGCCAAACCCGCUUCAUGAGAGCGCGCCUGGGCGAGCACAAUCUGCGCAAGCGCGAUGGUCCCGAGCAGUUGAGGACCUUGGCUCGCAUCAUCCCACACCCGCUCUAUGAAGCACACAGCCAUCGCCACGACGUCAUGUUGCUACGUCUAACCCGGCCCGCGCGCCUCUCCCGGCAAGUGCGCCCCGUGGCGCUGCCCACGCGUUGCCCCCAACCGGCCGAGGCCUGCGUGGUGUCCGGCUGGGGGCUGGUGUCUGAUCACAAGCCUGGGACCAAAGGGAGCACAGACUCACAAGUGAGUCUCCCAGAUACCCUGCAUUGUGCCAACAUCAGUGUUAUCCCGGCUGCCUCUUGUAACAAGGACUACCCAGGGCGCCUGGUGGCCUCUAUGCUGUGUGCAGGAGCAGAGGGUGGAGGCACCGAGUCCUGUGAGGGUGACUCCGGGGGACCCCUGGUCUGUAGGGGAGUCCUGCAGGGCAUUGUGUCCUGGGGUGACGUCCCCUGUGACACUACCACCAAGCCUGGGGUCUAUACCAAAGUCUGCAGCUACUUGGAGUGGAUCAAGGAAUCCAUGAAGAGGAACUAACUAUUUGGGCCUGACACUGUGUCUCUGGCUGAGCACAAGCUCCCACAGCUGGCCAACAACCCCAUCCUGACCUGGGACAGAAGGGACAGAAUCAAGCCAUCCCUCAAGACCUCAUUUGUCCAAGGCCCACAUGUUAGGGCUUGUCCCGUCUUAGGCCAGAGCCGGUGCUCAAGGUCACCUGUUGAAACACUGAGAUAACAAGAGUGCUGAUGCAAGUUUCUCUGUA